RNAcentral lists this ribosomal RNA (563 nucleotides) under Enterococcus casseliflavus. RNAcentral's name for it is "bacterial SSU rRNA". It matches the Rfam family "Bacterial small subunit ribosomal RNA", at positions 67 to 603 of the family's 1533-position model. Lineage: Bacteria; Bacillati; Bacillota; Bacilli; Lactobacillales; Enterococcaceae. The record is from RNAcentral.
CUUUUUCUUUCACCGGGAGCUUGCUCCACCGAAAGAAAAAGAGUGGCGAACGGGUGAGUAACACGUGGGUAACCUGCCCAUCAUAAGGGGAUAACACUUGGAAACAGGUGCUAAUACCGUAUAACACUAUUUUCCGCAUGGAAGAAAGUUGAAAGGCGCUUUUGCGUCACUGAUGGAUGGACCCGCGGUGCAUUAUCUAGUUGGUGAGGUAACGGCUCACCAAGGCAACGAUGCAUAGCCGACCUGAGAGGGUGAUCGGCCACACUGGGACUGAGACACGGCCCAGACUCCUACGGGAGGCAGCAGUAGGGAAUCUUCGGCAAUGGACGAAAGUCUGACCGAGCAACGCCGCGUGAGUGAAGAAGGUUUUCGGAUCGUAAAACUCUGUUGUUAGAGAAGAACAAGGAUGACAGUAAAAUGUUCAUCCCUUGACGGUAUCUAACCUUAAACCCACAGGUAACUACUUGCCAGCAGCCGCGGUAAUACGUAGGUGGCAAGCGUUGUCCGGAUUUAUUGGGCGUAAAUUGAACGCAAGGCUCUUCUUAUUUGUGAUGUGCCAGCCC